AUUGAACGCUGGCGGAAUGCUUUACACAUGCAAGUCGAACGGCAGCACGGACUUCGGUCUGGUGGCGAGUGGCGAACGGGUGAGCAAUGUAUCGGAACGUGCCCAGUCGUGGGGGAUAACGUAGUGAAAAUUACGCUAAUACCGCAUACGAUCUAUGGAUGAAAGCGGGGGAUCGCAAGACCUCGCGCGAUUGGAGCGGCCGAUAUCAGAUUAGGUAGUUGGUGGGGUAAAGGCCCACCAAGCCAACGAUCUGUAGCUGGUCUGAGAGGACGACCAGCCACACUGGAACUGAGACACGGUCCAGUCUCCUACGGGAGGCAGCAGUGGGGAAUUUUGGACAAUGGGCGAAAGCCUGAUCCAGCCAUUCCGCGUGCAGGAUGAAGGCCCUCGGGUUGUAAACUGCUUUUGUACAGAACGAAAAGGUUUCUACUAAUACUAGGAGCUCAUGACGGUACUGUAAGAAUAAGCACCGGCUAACUACGUGCCAGCAGCCGCAGUAA
This 500-nucleotide ribosomal RNA is filed under the name uncultured bacterium. Its description in RNAcentral is "partial 16S ribosomal RNA". It matches the Rfam family "Bacterial small subunit ribosomal RNA", at positions 30 to 523 of the family's 1533-position model. The record is from RNAcentral.